Peromyscus californicus insignis is the source of this 9268-nucleotide long non-coding RNA. RefSeq lists it as uncharacterized. Lineage: Eukaryota; Metazoa; Chordata; Mammalia; Rodentia; Cricetidae. The transcript has 12 exons. The record is from RefSeq and is a predicted model, not a curated record.
UUAUUUUUUUUGGUAAUAGCAGCAGGUGCAACCUUUUGUAUUUUCAAAGCAUUGAUUUUCAUUUUCGUGUGGGUAGGUAGGGGGGCGUUAUCCACUUAGCUGCGCUCUGUUAGGGCGACAGGCGGGCUAAGCGAAGGCAGGGACGGCGGGCGGGGCGGCGGCGCAGGCGGCGGCGGAGGUGGAAUGGGCGCUUUUCUCUCCCAUCUGGCUCCACUUAUUUAUUUAUUUAGACUAGAAAAAGCCAGCCGGCUUGGAGGGAGUCCGCCCAGAGACCUGAGUGCGCACUGAUCAGUGUCGAGAGAAAAAAAAAAGCGCUACAUAAAUAUAUAUUAUGUGGAUAAAUCUGUAGACAGGAGCUCUAGCUCGCGCGCUCUCUGUUUCUGUCUCUGCUUUCCCCCUUCUCUCAUCCCCAAUCUGCCAGAGCAGUCCCCAAAUUUCUCCUUCCUAUUCUGCAUCCACCGCCACCGGAUCCACCUGGGAGGAUGGGGCUAGGAGAGCAGCCGGGGCCGCGCCGGAGGCUCAGGGAGUAGAAUUCGGCUUGGUUCUCCGCCCCAGCCCUCUGAGAAGGCGGGAGGGAAUGUUUCAGUCCCGGACACGACUUCUCCCGUCCGGACAGUGGCAGCCAGUGCGGCCGGUGGCUGGAGGGAGGAAGGCUUGAGGAUUUCCACAAGGAGGAAAUAGAAAACAGGAAGCAAUGCAAGCCGCGGGUGAGAAGUGGGGAUGAACUCACUGCAAGAUACUACCCCCUGGGGAUGGAAACAUUCAGGCAGCACAAAGCUGUAUCCCUGCUUCAGUCUUCUGGGGUCCUGCCCUGUGUACCUGCUGCUAGCCCUCUGGCCCCUUCUUCUUACCUGAGAGGUGUUACAGAAAGGAUACGAGUCUGCUGCUAUUAGAAACAUUUCAAAGAAGAAACCUCAGUUUCAAGGACACCACAUUCCCCUCAACACUCACCUGGUUGCAGCCUUCUUUGAAUUUAAAUCUUGCAAUCACUGCUGGGAAGUGAGCUGUAUCGUCUCGAGAAAUCAGACCACAGAGACCAGCCUGCAGCUGGCAGUCUGGGUCAUCUCUAGUCACUUAACCCUUCAUAUCAAAGGAUGGCUGGGAGCAUUGGAUUCCUUUUCUGAAACAUGCGAUGGAUGGUGUUGAGAUGUGGUAAGAAGCAUUAUUGGCCUGCACAUUGAUCAAGAUGGAGAAGCCUGAGGAAGAACAAGGAACCAAAAGGAUACAACACAAGAUACACAGAGAGCGCACAGGACUGAGAGGAUGCAGUAGGUGCAGGCAAGAUGCAGUGAAGGGAAAAACAUCAAAUGAAAGUGAUUUUCAGUGCCUGUGGUGAAAGCUGUGUCAUGUCUGGGGCUGGUUCACCAACCACAGAAGACAAGCCGCUUUCCUCUGCUCCACUCUUCUGUUUAUUUUAGAGCCUAGAUUAUCCUCUUUCUCCAGAGAUGGAUCAAAAUACUCCAGGACAAGGAAACCUCUUCUUCUAUGAAUGUGAGCAAGACACCUAGUAGGAGCAUGGCUCUGCAGAUGCACAAUGCCCAAGGCAGUCAUGUCUUCUGCCUCAUGGAACUGGGAUAAGUGAGGUGGAGAGAUAGAGAUAAUACAUGCAACACGACCAGCUGCCUCUUGUUUCUGCUUCUGUGAUUUCCACACCAUAGUGGACCACCCACACCCUGAAACCACAAGUCCAGUUGUACCCUUCCUUCCUUCAGUUUCUCUUUUUUCAGAUACAAUUCUGCUACUGAAAAGCACAAGAAAGCACAGAUCAAUGACCAUGACUCUGGAAUCUUGGCCCCUGGGCUCUGUCUCAAUUAGAAAUGUGCUUCGUUCAGCAUGCUGGGGCUCCUGCUGGCUACAAUUCCCAGAUGUGGAUCUGGGUAUUCCUACAGACCUAAAGUCAGCCUUGGUCUCCACCUGAGUAUCAGGUGGUUCUUUGCCUUCCAAGCAUUCGCAAGCUCAUCUUUGGUAGAGAUCUUGAUGGUGACCCAACCGAAGUCCCCUGUCAUCUUUGUUGAUUGAUGAUUUGGUGUCCCAUCCUUACUUAUCCAUCUCCAAAUUUCUAUGGACUCUUGUGGUAGCCCGAGGACUAGUGACUUUUCAGGCAUCAUCCGGAACUUCAGUGCCACAUUACAACUACGGAGGCACCCAGCUUUUGUGGACUGAGCAGCUAGUGGGUUCUUAGCUUCUCCAGUUGCAGAUGGCCACUGUUGGAUGACUGAGGUCCUAUCACAAGCCCAUGCCAUCAGUCUCCUUUCAUAAUAUAUGUUCUUUCCAUCCAUUAUUCUUUCAGAGAACCCUGGCCAACACUGUCUUAACUGCUGCUGUGUCAGAUGUAGACUUUGCUCUCUGGUGGUUCAGAUUUGAGUUACUGAGCUAUACCAACAUUAUAUAUAUAAACAGCCACUUGCUGUUCUGGAAACCCACAUUGGCAUGCAGGCAUGCCCAGGGAAUAACACAGAGACAGAAGAAAGUACCAACUCAGAGAGGGGGUCAUGGAAAGAGGGUUUCCUGGAGGAAGAACCGCCUUAGCUGACUCCCAAAUAACAUGAUGAGAAUGAGUUUUUCUGGGCACAAGAGGGGAGUUAAACAGCCAUGAAAGGCCAACAGUGAUUGAUGUCAAGCCUGAAAGGAUGAACCUGGGUUUUUGUCCACUCUCUUGCUUCAAGCAAUGGUUGAUUACGAGCACUAUAGUCAUCUGCACUUGCGUAUACUGUGCUGGCUGGGAUCAAGGGAGCCUUGUUGUAUGGAGAAGGCUAUGAGUAGAGUUAGUCUGUACCUGAAUUCUAUGUCUGAGGCUUUCCAUAGUAUGUGCUCUGACCCCCAUCAAACUGGGGACUAGAGUCAUAUGGUCAAUGUGAACUGACAGCCUGGGCAGAGCCUUGGGGCCUCUGUACUGGAAAUACUCUCCUAUUCCCCCCAUACAGACUGCGUCCUUCAGGGACAACUGGGCAUGAGGGUAUCAUUCACUACCGCACUGUCUGUGUAGGGGAGGGGAGUGAGGAGAGAAAAAAGAAUCUCAAAAAAUGUGUAUAUUUAUCCUGGUCUGGCCUUAAGAAAACACAGCCACCGAUCCAUCAAAAAUGAAUUUGAGUUUGGAUAACAUUAGCGUUUAAGGCAAUGCUCUUCUCUUGUAUUGAUUCUCUGUGGGUUGAAAUGGAAACAAUUUUAGAAAUGUAGUCUUAGGUUUCCUUAAUCUUCGUGGCUCAGGGAGGAAAAGGCUGUUGUCACUUGUGCUAAUAACCACAAGAAACAGGGUACUAAAGUGCUUAGCUGGAAAACGAAUUCCAGGAGCUAGCCCUGGUCAUGCCUCCAGGGAGAAUGCUUCCUAAAAAUUCUGCCUUUCUUCUUUCCUUCAAGAGAGUUGCCUUAAAGGGCAUAGCCAUUUGGGAAGGAGACAAUAACUUGUGGAAUUAAGGAUUCCCAGGACUUGCAGAGUCAGCAUGGGGUGGUGGCCUCAGAAUGAGGUCAGGUCCUAAUCAGCACUGUCGAGAGAGGGAGAGGAUUGUUUGUACAUUUGAUUUUGGAAUCCCAAGGGGCAUCUCUGCUUCCCAUCAUUCAAAACAGACCUUCUCUUCUUUCUUUCAAAUAAAACUUUGAUUGGAAUUCUCUAGAUUAAGGCAUUGAUGAUAUCUUGUCACAUGUGCAUGAGUUUUGAUUAUCUUAGCAUGAAAUACACAUCAAGUUAGUACUGCUCACCUCCCAGGGUCCUGAGAUGGAGAUAGAGAUCAGGGGAGGGAGAAAGGGACAUGCAUGACAGCCUGCAAGGGUUAGAGACCUCAGAAGGUGUAUGGGUUUGGUAUCUAAAUGCCAUUAAGCUGGUUAUCCCCCUAGGAGCUCUGGUCCUUCUGAAAAAAAAAGUCAGUGUUUCUGUAACUUAGGUGGGGCCAUCUAAAGUCUCAACAUCCAACAUGGAAGCCUUGGAUCCCAACUUUUUAACUUGAUGGGGAGAGGGCAAUGUCAGAAAGAAUUAUCAUCUCAACUGGGGUGAGGAUAGAAGAGAAUGCUCUUCUUCCCUCAACUGUCUCUACUUGACCUUUCCUCUCCUGUGAGUAUUUGCAUAAAAAUGGACUCCUUUUGAAUAAAGUAUGGGCAUAGUUUACAGUGUCACCUGGGGGAACAAUCUGUCCUGUGGCCUUUUUUCCCCCAUUUGUCACCUGAGGUUUGUCACAUUGCACUCUCAUGCUUCUCACAUGCCCACUUGUCUUGACCCAGAUCUGGGGAACCAGAGUGUGGGAGGAAGGUGGAAGGUAAGGAUGGACAGUCUCAUCUUCUGGGACACUAAGGUAGAUCUGCAUCCUGCUUCCCUCUGGAGAGGCUUCUUGCCCUUCCUGGCCACUACAACCCUUGUCUGCAGCCAUGUACCUUCUGAGUCACUCCUUUCUUGUUGCUGUGACUAAUUUGCCAACAGCAAGAUCCUUCAUGUCCUUCUGAACACAAGAUUCAACCCAGAGGUAUGUGUCAGAGAUGAGAACCGACAGCUAUAAUGGCCCCCUGAAUUCCUGAAUCCCAAGACCAGAGCCCUUGCAAGUCAGCCUUUCCCACCACUUUAGUCUGGGAUUUUAGAGUGAAAAUUGAAUACUCCAUUGACAUUGGGGAGUUGGGGUUCAGACCAGCAUCAUCCUGGGCUUCCAAGAGCAAGAAUAUGAGAGAGAUCAGGGCUAGAUGAGGCUAUGAUGGAAUGAAGUCUUGUGAGGCCUUUCAAAAUCCAGGACCAGUCUGGCAUCUGGCCCUGACUGGUAAGAACUCCUGGUUCCUUCUAUUAAUGAGAAACAUUCCCUCUUCUUUGUCUGGUUUAAGAACUUCAAAAAAUUUGAAGCUCCUGCUCAUUUGGGCCAAUCCAAGAAAGAAUUACUGUUGUUGGUAUAAUUUCUGUGGAGAUAUUUUUAAUUAGCUCAUAAAAUUCAAACAGAGAAUAUAAUAUAUCCAGUUAAUUACCAUCAUCCUAAUUUGGUCAUAGUUUGGGUGCUCAUCCCUUUGAAGGUUGGUGACCAACACAGAGAUUGGUUUUAUUUUUCCCCUCUGAACUAAGUUCUUAACCAUAGAUUUGAUCCAGUUAGGUGACAGAAGCUAGCAAGACCCCUUGGAUGGGUCGUUGUCAUGGAAGGCAUACAAAUAUCAACCUGACCAGAGUGGCAGAGGCUCCAAGCACAGUCAGAAUCUGUGGCCAUUUACUUGCUGUUGCCAAGGAAAUCUUAGCUCCCCUCUUCACAUCUAACACUGUAGCCUUCUGUGGCUUGUCCAUCUGUCCUGCUGGCUCAGGGGUUCUGGUGUGUAUCGUAAUUCUUGGCACAUCCUCAAGAUCCACUGAUGUUUUGUAGAAUAAAUCAAUGCAUGUUGCCUAGAUUAUAAUAAAAAUAUCCCCUUUCUACUCAUGUAUAUUAUAAGUAUAUUUAAAAUGGGAAUGCUCUAUAAAAAUAUAAAAUGCCCAAGGAUCAGGCACACAGUUUUAUAUGAUUAAAUGUCCAUUGAUUUACUGCUUGGUAAGUAAACAGAGAAAUGUCAUAGAAAAUAGAGUGUAUGGCUAGACAGGUCUCCUAAUGGGACUUUUGGAAGUCUUUAGGCAACUUAUGCAAUAUUAAUAAUAUUAUAUAUUAUUGCAUAUGAUAUAUUAAUAACGGUUAUAUGUCCAUAUUAUAUCUAUCUCUAUAUAUUUACAUUUAAUGUGAAACUGGGCAGGUGGGCUAAUAAACAAAACACACAAUUGUUAUAAUAGAGACCUCAUAAUCAAGCAUGGAUUCAUUUGACUAUAAUGAAAAAUAUGGCCAUAUUAAAUCUCAUUAAUGCAAACUCCACUAAUUCAGGUAGCAAUCACUCAGACCCAUGGAGCUGAGGUUUGCUUUUGCUGUUUGAAAAUAUUUCUAUAAAGCCAAUGGACAGUGUCUGAAGGAAAUGGCUGUCUGGCUGUCACAUUUUGACCAGUACUGAUGCUUCAGAAGGCUUCUGUCACUUCUUCUCCCCCUUGUCCAGACUCAGCAUCUAUUCUCUGCAUGCUCCUUUCCCCCAUAACCCUUAGCAUAGUACAUUGUAAACAAUUUGCAAGAGAUGGGAACCCCUUGAGGGGAACACCACUGGGCCCUUUUCUCUGUAUCUCCAGCUCAUAGCCUGCCUAAAUAAAUGUUUGUUCAGUGAAUAAAUAAAGGAGAGCUUCCACAGACACAGUCUUACAUAAAAAUGAGCACUGUGUUCAUUACAGAGAUUAUCCUAGGAAUACGGCAUCAUGUUUGUAUCCCAAAUGCUGUAUAGAUUAUUCUCUUAGAUCUAGUAUUAUUUCUAAGGAGUAAAUGUUGAAAAGUCAACUUGGUAGGAGUAAACCCAGUUGUUUCUUGAGUGGUUAAUUCAUUGCUAAUUAGAUACUAUUUUGUCUUACUUUCUUCCCUCACUUCCAAGUCUCAUGUCAUGAAGAGUAAAUUAGUCAGUCAGUGAAAGAGUAGUAAGUGAAUGCUUCAAGGUCCCUCCUCAUUGUGACUCAGGUCCUUCACUUGGUGCUGUGGUCAGGUCACCUUUACAUAGGACUUGGUGUAGAGAAGGAGACCAUGAGAGGAAUUGGUGAGGAUAAACAUGGCUAGAACUGAGGUCUGCUAGAACAGCUUUUCAUGGGCAAAUCUAGGACCAAACACAGUUUUGCAGGAGACAGUCUCAUGGUGAGUGUGGAGGAGCUUCCUUGAUGGUGUCCUGACAAUAUUAGUAAUUUAUAUUUAGAUACUCAGCCUAUGGUUAGCUUUGGAGAUGUAUUAGGUGGAGUACAGAAUAUCUGAAAAAGAGGAUAUAGUAUGGUUAUCAAUUUACCCUGGCCAGUAAGAGGGACCCAAGGAACACUAGCAAGUGCUAAGGUUUGGCUCUAUAUGCAGAGUUCCCACAAAUUAGGACUAUAUGAGUGAGUGAGAUGUCAACCCAUUCCUGGAAGGCACAGACAGCAGGGAAUAUCUUUAGGUGAAAAGGAGAAGACAGAAUAAAUUUGCAACAACUGAGAUGUAAUUAAUUAGUUGCCCAGUUAGUGCUAUGACAUGUAGCCACAGUAAGGUACAACAUGAAGCUGAGUCUUCUAGGUACUUAUGCAGUAUUAAUACUUAUACUGAGUGUCUAAGAAUAUGAACUAACUCACUCAAUUUCCUCUGCUAGUCACUUGUCUCUAAGGAAAAGGUAGGGGUAGCCUAUCUGUAGUCAGAAAGUAGAAGAACAUUCAUGUGUUACGGAUGGGUUAAUGUCAGAAUUGGUGGGAUAGCUAUUAAUUUGACAAGAACACUUCUGAGGACUAGAAAAGCUAAACAACGGCAGGAAUCUGCUGCCCAAGGCACCAGAAAGAUAAUCAAAUGCUCAGUGCUCAGGAGAAAAAAAAAUACAACAAAACAACUAGACUUAUAAGCACUAGAAAACCACUCCCAACUUGGGUUGGAGUUCUAGAAGGCUAUAUUGUAGGAAAAUGAGUAAAUUAUAAGUAUAACAGCAAUGACAACAACAACAACAACAACAACACCCAAGACUCCAGCCCAUUUGUGCCACUGAGGACAUCAGCAUGUCUCAGUAUAUAAAACUGGUUAAAAUAAUCCUACAUUGCUACUCUCAGAUUUUUGGUAAUAUCAAAUGAAAAAUCAUUUGUGGGGGAAGAUAAUGCCAUUCUAGGUUUUCAAUUAUUUCUACAAAUAAGUAAUUUUUCAAAUAUAGUAUCUAGUACACAAUCAAAGAUAGUUAGAUGUGUAACAAGACAAAAUUAACAUGGGCAAGGACAUGACCAAAGAAAAAGAAUCAUAGAAUUUAUAUAUAUUGAAAAUACCAGGCAUAGGCUUAAAUAUAUGUAUAAAUUGAAUUUAUUAAAACAAGAUAAGUAUUACAGACAGAAAAUAAGAAACUAUAGAAUUGAUACAACAGGUCUGAAAAACUAAAUAUAUGAAAUUAUAUAACUGAAAGUAUAUUUUAACUCAAGAUCUUUAUUGAAUGAUGUCUCUUAAGAUUAGACACAGCUGAAAAAGAGUCAGUUAAUUGCAAUAUAUGUUAGAAAAAAAUUCCAGUGCAAAUCAAAAUGACUCUGAGAUAUCAUCUUACACCUGUCAUAAUGGUUAAGAUCAAAAAACCUGAAGACAGCUUAUGUUGGAGAGGAUGUGGUGUGAGGAGAACACUUCUCCUCUGUUGGUGAGGUACAAACUUAUACAGACACUUUCAAAAUCAGAAUGGCGGUUUCUCAUAAAACUGGGAAUCCAUCUUUCUCAAGACCCAGCUAUACCACUCUUGGGCAUAUACCCAAGGAAUACUCAAUUAUAACACAAGGACACAUGCUCAACUAUGUUCAUAUCAGUGUUAUUUGUAAUAGCCAGAACCUGGAAACACCCUAGAUGCACCUCAACCAAAAAAUGGAUAAAGAAAAUGUGGUACAUAUACACAAUGGAGUACUAUUCAGCAGUGAAAAACAAUGACAUCAUGAAAUUUGCAGGCAAAUGGAUGGAACUAGAAAAUAUCAUCCUGAGUGAGGUAACCCAGACUCAGAAGGACAAACAUGGCAUGUACUCACUCAUAAGUGGUUACUAGAUGUAAAGCAAAGGAUAAUCAGACUACAACCUGUAGCUCUAGAAAAGCUAGCUAACAAGGAGGACCCAAAAAUGGAUGAAUAGACUACCCUGGGAAGGGGAAAGAGAUGAGAUCUCCAUGAGUAAAUUAGGGAUGAGAGGUGGCCAAUAGAAAGUAGGAAUGGGGGAUGAGAACAUAAGGGAAUGCGAUGGUCGAGCUGGAACAGAGAUGGAGUGGGAGAGCAAUAAAAGAGAUACUAUGAUAGAGGGAUACAUCAUGGGGAUAGGGAGAAACUGGGUGCUAGGGAAGUUCUCAGGAAUCCACAAGGAGAGGGUGCCUGAACUGGCUUAUCCCAGUAAUCAAAUGGUGGGUAUCCUAACUUAUCAUAGAGCCUUUCUCCAGUAACUGAUGGAAGCAGAAGCAGAGAUCCACAGCCAGGUACUAGCCCGAGCUCUAGGAGCCCAGUCAAGGAGAGAGAAGAGGGAUUCUGUGAGCAAGGGGGCAUCAAGAUCAUGAUGGGGAAACCUACAGAGACAACCAAACCAAACUCAUGGGAACUCAUGAAAUUUAGAUCAACAGCUGUGGAGCCUGCAUGGGACUGGACUAGGCCCCUCUGUAUAGCAAGAAAGUUGUGUAGCAUAAUUUUCUUGGGGGUUCCCCUGGCAGUAGGAUCAGAGUCUAUCCCUGAUGCAUGAGCAGGCCUUUUGGAGCCCACUUCUAUGAUGGGACACUUUGCACAGCUUUGGGGCAGGGGGAAAGGCUUGGACCU